UCAGUGCAUCGCAAAAUUGUUAAUAUAUCGAGAUAUACAUAUAACAAUAUAUGACAAUAUAUUGACGAUCCUUCGAAAUGUGUAUCCUUAAUAAGCACCAUAUCGGAAACAUAUCCUUUGAUGUGGCGAUAAUAAUGAAGAGAAAAAAAAUUAAUAAAUAUGAUAAUUAUAAUGACAAGCUAUGCGCGUGCGUGUUUAGUUUAUUAGCGAAUAAGUUAUAAUCAUAUUUUCGUGUUAUCAGAUUUACGUUGUGCACGUCAUUUGCCGCAAGGAUGCAUAUAUAAGCGUGUGGUGCGGGUGAUACGUGUAGUAGCCACGCAAUGCACGCGUGAGAUACCUAACAAUAAGUGUAGGUGUCUCGCAGUAUAAGAGACGAAGGAAAGAGGAAGAGAAUCAUGUCGCUUUGCGGAGUGAUAGGGGCCCCAGUUUCCAGUAACGUAACGUCGCUCGAAGUUUUGCGACACGCGCGCGAUUCGCUACCGGGUCGCGACGUAUCUGACUAUAUCGUCGUGAUAUUCUCCUUAUCACCGUGUACGCUCCUCGUAGUAAAAGCGUUCGGUUCAGGGUGCGGCCGAUGCGACACGUGAUUACCAUAAAAUUAUAUGUCGUUCAUCAAACGUUCUCGAAGAAGAUACCAGACGUGUCACCGCGAUUUCCUAUACGUAUAUGUGUCAUUUCCCAGCAAAGAGACGCGUGUUGUGAAAAUCGAGGUCGCGGGUCGCGCGACCGAAUAUAUUUGCGGGAAUCGUGGAAUUUCCGAUCGGCGCGUAAUACGCAACACAUUUUAAAUUAUUAUGCAUAGCUACAUGCAUUCGGCUAUCGGAUACUCGAUCCAUUCGGAAUUUGAAUUAUCGCAAAGUUCGCUGCUCGAAGAGCAACGGAUCUGUAAUUAUUGUUAUUCAUAAGUGCGCAAAAUAAUAUGCAACAGAUAACAGAAGCGCAGUAUUGCACUUAACAUAAUUUUUGCUUGACGUGAUUUAUCGCUAUUUUAAAUUUCUAGACAUUCCGUGCGUCUCUACAAUCUAAAUGAUACGCAAUAUAACCACAUAAUCGCGUAUACCUACUCUUCGACUAUAGAUGCAACAACAAAUUUUACGACCUUCGGAUACGUUUUUUUUUUAACGUUCGCACGACGAUGCAAUAGAGCGUACCGGAAAUAAAAUUUAAACGUCUUGCAUUACAAUGAAGGAAAUUGCAGAUAUAUGUAUAUAUAGUAGUUUCGGAAACAGUCACCUUUUUAUACAUGCAAUUAUGGUCUCUCUUUAUAAUAAAGAAUAAAUUUCACAAGAGCUUUGAACUUCUAAUCGGCACAAAAACCGUUUGUAUUUCGACAUUGAGCAGAUUAUUUUAUUUUCUGCAUUUUGAAUUUCUAAUAGAGAAAAACACUUCCUAGAAUAUUAAUUAUGACUAAUAGCAGUAGAGUCACACGAGAGUCAGGCGAUCUCAGGAUCAGCGUUUGCGCACUCUUCCAUGACGUCCGACAAAUGUGAAUGCCGAGAUCUUUUCGACAGAGUGACUAAAGCAUUUGAGAGAGCGUAAUUGUGUGUGCACCAUUCGAAAACAAUUAGCAUUCCGUACGGUCGUGUCCUCGACAAUUAGUGCAAUGCUCGUUCCCAGACGCGAUCACAUUCGUUUCGAACGAAUUCAUUAAUCGAGUCAACGCGAUAAAACAACGAGCCACCACAGUUCAAUCAGCAUCAUCGUUCGUAAAUAUUCAUGG
Long non-coding RNA from Nylanderia fulva, 1720 nucleotides. RefSeq lists it as uncharacterized. Lineage: Eukaryota; Metazoa; Arthropoda; Insecta; Hymenoptera; Formicidae. The record is from RefSeq and is a predicted model, not a curated record.